Long non-coding RNA from Anneissia japonica, 222 nucleotides. RefSeq lists it as uncharacterized. The transcript is spliced from 3 exons. Lineage: Eukaryota; Metazoa; Echinodermata; Crinoidea; Comatulida; Comatulidae. The record is from RefSeq and is a predicted model, not a curated record.
UAGAAAAAGAAUAAUGAUUUUUUUUAUACCACUCCAGGUGGCGUUCUACAUGUAAACAUGACUCAAUGGACUACGAGACUUUACAAUUAAUAACAAAUCUAAUGACAGACAAGAUCGUUAUUUAAAUGGAACCUCAUUGGAAAUGUUCUGGACUCCGACCUAUUGGGCGUUCCUGAUGCUCGUAAACUGCCAGUAAAGUAGACAGAGAAGCCACAACUAUCA